RNAcentral lists this non-coding RNA (102 nucleotides) under Clostridium felsineum. Its description in RNAcentral is "Clostridium roseum Guanine sequence". It matches the Rfam family "Purine riboswitch aptamer". From Rfam's summary of the family: Riboswitches are metabolite binding domains within certain messenger RNAs that serve as precision sensors for their corresponding targets. Allosteric rearrangement of mRNA structure is mediated by ligand binding, and this results in modulation of gene expression. A class of riboswitches that selectively recognises guanine and becomes saturated at concentrations as low as 5 nM. Lineage: Bacteria; Bacillati; Bacillota; Clostridia; Eubacteriales; Clostridiaceae. The record is from RNAcentral.
GAAAAUGAAUAGCAUAUUACCCGUAUAUACUUAGAAAUAAGGUCUAAGCGUUUCUACCAGACUACCGUAAAUUGUCUGACUAUGGGUGUUUAUAAGUAUUUU